CUUUAAAAUUAUUUUUAUUGUGAAAGUAAUUCAUACACACCAUACAACAAACGGAAAAAUGAAGAAAAAAUGUACGUGUGUACACUUAGAAUUACUCCCUAGAACGGGCAGAUACAGGGGAUUUUCAGGGCAGUGAAAAUAUUCUGUAUGAUACUCUGACGGUGGGUUCAUGUCAUCACACAUUUGUCAAAAGCCAUGGACUGCACAGCCCCAAGAGUGAGCCCGGAUGUCAGCUGUGGACUCUAGGUGAUAACGACCUGUCGGUGUAGCUUCACCCAUUGUAACGAACGUACCCUCUGGUGGGGAUGCUGGUGGCGGGGGAGGUUGUGGGCAGGUGCAGGGAGGGGCAUACGGGAAACUUCCGUACCUUCUGCUCAAUAUUGCUAUCAGUGUAAAACUGCUCUAAAAAAUAAACUCUAUUUAAAAAAAUAAAACGACCUAACUCUUGUUGCCAUUCUGGUGAAUGUCUUUUUAGGGUGUUUUUUUUUUUUUUUUUUUUUUUUUUUUUUUGGCCAUGCUCAAGUCAUGUGGAAAUUCCCCAGCCAGGGAUGGAACCCAUGCCACAGCAGCAACUUGAGCCACAGCAGUGACAAAGUUGGAUCUUUAACUCACUGAUCCACCAGGGAACUCCAUAGGUUUUUUCCUUUUCUUUCUUUUGUUUUGGUCUUUUUAAGGCCUCACCUGCAGCAUAUGAAGAUUCCCAGGGUAAAAGUUGAAUUGGAGCUGUAGCUGCCAGCCUACACCACAGCCACAGCAACACCAGAUCUGAGCCACACCUGCGACCUACACCACAGCUCACGGCAACGCUGGAUCCUUAACCGAGUGAGGCCAGGGAUCGAACCUGCCACCUCAUGGUUUCUUGUCCCAUUCUUUACCACUGAGCCAUGAUGGGAACUGUUAUUUUAAAAAUCUCUUUUCUCCUGUUGCUUACCCCAGAGGCUGGCUCCUGCUCAACAAACACGUCUGCUACGAGCAGAGGGCUAUGAUGAAAGAUUUGUGGACUGGAUUUCUGCUUUACCCGUUGCUCUCAUCAGCUACCAUCACAGCACGCACGUGUGAAGCGUAAACACAAACAGCUUGGAGGACACGUUCCCCCGCCGCGGGGCAAAGGCAGGGCCAUCUGUGGGCUCCCUGCCCAGCUGUGUGUUUGGGUGAUUCCGGGCCACACCCGAGAUGGGAGCCGGUGAGGGGUGGUCUCGGAGGAUGGAGCUGGAGGAGCGGAGACGGUCACUUCUCGAGUGCCAGUGGCAAGUAGUAAGCAGCUACCCUUGUCACUGUGCCUUCAGAGAGACUGGAAGAACGACCGAGAGAAUGACUUCGGCUGGUAGUCACAGCCCCUCUGCGCUCCCUAAAAACCCUCAGGGCCUCCCACCACCCUCAGGACGAGACCUGUCUGCUCACAGCCCAACAGGGCCCGAGACCUGGGCCUCCUCCGCCAGCCCGGCUUCCUCUUGCUCGUCGUCGUUGGGCGUCCAGGUUUUGUCUGCAUUGCCGGCUUGUGCUCCAGCCUUCAGCUCUCGGCACCCUCUGCCUCCCCCGGCUGGCCUCCCCCAGCACAGCGCGGUGCUGCCUACCCUCCAUACGGCUCGUUCUUCUUGGCUGAAAAGCACCGACUUGGGGGUUCACCUGGGUCCUGUGGGCCAGGGCUCCUGGUGCAGCUCCAGCUCCAUGGUUCUGAUUCGGGGAUUCUCUUGAGGUUGCAGGGAAGGUGUUGGCUGGGGCUGCGCCACUCGAAGGCUUGACCGGGGCUGGAGGAUCCGAGAUGCUGCACUCACUGCCCACGUUGGUGCGGCCGGCUGUGGGCAGGAGCCUCGGUUCCUCCCCACGGGGACCUCUGCCCGCAGAGCCACUAGAGUGUCCUCACAGCACAGCAGCCGGCUUUCCCCAGAGCAAAUGACCCGAGACAGGGCAGCGGGCCUCCAGUCUCAGGCCAUCACUCCC
Molecule: long non-coding RNA, 1941 nt
Filed under: Sus scrofa (pig)
Lineage: Eukaryota; Metazoa; Chordata; Mammalia; Artiodactyla; Suidae
Description: lncRNA (ENSSSCG00045026202.1)
Source: RNAcentral